Molecule: ribosomal RNA, 253 nt
Filed under: uncultured bacterium
Lineage: Bacteria
Description: partial 16S ribosomal RNA
Rfam family: Bacterial small subunit ribosomal RNA
Source: RNAcentral
UACGUAGGGUGCUAGCGUUGUUCGGAAUCACUGGGCGUAAAGGGCGCGUAGGCGGGAUGGCAAGUCAGUCGUGAAAUCUCUCGGCUCAACCGAGAAACGUCGGCUGAUACUGCCGUUCUUGAGGGAUGCAGAGGAGACUGGAAUUCCCGGUGUAGCGGUGAAAUGUGUAGAGAUCGGGAGGAACACCGGUGGCGAAGGCGGGUCUCUGGGCAUCUCCUGACGCUGAGGCGCGAAAGCGUGGGGAGCAAACGGG